UGGGGAAUUUUGUACAAUGGGGGAAACCCUGAUCCAGCCAUCCCGCGUGUGCGAUGAAGGCCUUCGGGUUGUAAAGCACUUUUGGCAGGAAAGAAACGUCAUGGGUUAAUACCCCGUGAAACUGACGGUACCUGCAGAAUAAGCACCGGCUAACUACGUGCCAGCAGCCGCGGUAAUACGUAGGGUGCAAGCGUUAAUCGGAAUUACUGGGCGUAAAGCGUGCGCAGGCGGUUCGGAAAGAAAGAUGUGAAAUCCCAGAGCUCAACUUUGGAACUGCAUUUUUAACUACCGGGCUAGAGUGUGUCAGAGGGAGGUGGAAUUCCGCGUGUAGCAGUGAAAUGCGUAGAUAUGCGGAGGAACACCGAUGGCGAAGGCAGCCUCCUGGGAUAACACUGACGCUCAUGCACGAAAGCGUGGGUAGCAAACAGG
RNAcentral lists this ribosomal RNA (429 nucleotides) under Acidobacteriota bacterium. RNAcentral's name for it is "Acidobacteria bacterium partial 16S ribosomal RNA". It matches the Rfam family "Bacterial small subunit ribosomal RNA", at positions 355 to 776 of the family's 1533-position model. Lineage: Bacteria; Pseudomonadati; Acidobacteriota. The record is from RNAcentral.